CUCUUUGAGCUCCACUAACCUCUCACUGCUGCCCUAUUGGAUAAACUAUUUUUUUAGGAAUACAGCAUUUCGACUCACAAUCACAUUAUGAUCUUGUGGAAAGUACAAGUAGUAUCUCAUAGAUUCUUUUGCACACUCUAUAAAGUGAGCUAUAAUAGAUCUAUCCUCUAGUUUAUCCAUCAUUUGUCUCUUGACAUAGGUCGGAUAUCCCCAAGUCUUGAGAUAACCUAGACUCGGCUUCUUACCUAUUCAAC
This 254-nucleotide long non-coding RNA is filed under the name Elaeis guineensis (African oil palm). RNAcentral's name for it is "long non-coding RNA (EGUI_LNC074660)". The record is from RNAcentral. Lineage: Eukaryota; Viridiplantae; Streptophyta; Magnoliopsida; Arecales; Arecaceae.